RNAcentral lists this ribosomal RNA (497 nucleotides) under uncultured bacterium. Its description in RNAcentral is "partial 16S ribosomal RNA". It matches the Rfam family "Bacterial small subunit ribosomal RNA", at positions 28 to 507 of the family's 1533-position model. The record is from RNAcentral.
GAUGAACGCUGGCGGCGUGCCUAAUACAUGCAAGUCGAGCGAACAGACGAGGAGCUUGCUCCUCUGACGUUAGCGGCGGACGGGUGAGUAACACGUGGAUAACCUACCUAUAAGACUGGGAUAACUUCGGGAAACCGGAGCUAAUAUCGGAUAAUAUAUUGAACCGCAUGGUUCAAUAGUGAAAGACGGUUUUGCUGUCACUUAUAGAUGGAUCCGCGCCGCAUUAGCUAGUUGGUAAGGUAACGGCUUACCAAGGCAACGAUGCGUAGCCGACCUGAGAGGGUGAUCGGCCCCACUGGAACUGAGACACGCUCCAGUUUCCUACGGGAGUCAGCAGUAGGGAAUCUUCCGCAAUGGGCGAAAGCCUGACGGAGCAACGCCGCGUGAGUGAUGAAGGUCUUCGGAUCGUAAAACUCUGCUAUUAGGGAAGAACAAAUGUGUAAGUAACUAUGCACGUCUUGACGGUACCUAAUCAGAAAGCCACGGCUAACUACGUG